CAGCAGCCGCGGUAACACCGAGGGUGCGAGCGUUAAUCGGAUUUACUGGGCGUAAAGCGUGCGUAGGCGGCUUCUUAAGUCGGAUGUGAAAUCCCUGAGCUUAACUUAGCAAUUGCAUUCGAUACUGGGAAGCUAGAGUAUGGGAGAGGAUGGUAGAAUUCCAGGUGUAGCGGUGAAAUGCGUAGAGAUCUGGAGGAAUACCGAUGGCGAAGGCAGCCAUCUGGCCUAAUACUGACGCUGAGGUACGAAAGCAUGGGGAGCAAACAGGAUUAGAUACCCGUGUAGUCCCUGUCUCUUAUAC
RNAcentral lists this ribosomal RNA (301 nucleotides) under uncultured bacterium. Its description in RNAcentral is "partial 16S ribosomal RNA". It matches the Rfam family "Bacterial small subunit ribosomal RNA", at positions 509 to 807 of the family's 1533-position model. The record is from RNAcentral.